This is a long non-coding RNA of Colossoma macropomum (tambaqui), 963 nucleotides long. RefSeq lists it as uncharacterized. The record is from RefSeq and is a predicted model, not a curated record. The transcript is spliced from 3 exons. Lineage: Eukaryota; Metazoa; Chordata; Actinopteri; Characiformes; Serrasalmidae.
GUCGACAACACGGAAAACGCAAGGUAGACGCGGAAGUAGAGUUUAGUGCAUUUCUCUUUCUGAGAUCGACGUUUCAGCAUAUUCGGUAUAUAGGCUGCUAAACAACCACUUUAGCGUGUCCUGUACGGGUUCGUAAUGGUAUGACUUCUGAUAAAAGCCGGUGCCUAUGUGGUGCGGAAGAUCUCCUCUGCCAUCAGAGAGGGAGAGCAAAAAGAACAGCCUGAACUCGCACCAUGUAGCCUGGUACCAGGAAAUAAGAGGGAGCAUCAGAGUCAGAAGCGUUUAAUAGCGGAGGCUAAGUCAACCCCAGCAGAGACGUCUACAGAGACUGGAGUGGAGAAAUGUAGCUCCUGACAUUAAAGGUCAUACAGGUGCAUAACUGGGUGUCUCACUAGAAGUUGUAGAAGCUGAAGAAGUUGUAAAACAUCUGGUUCCUGAGAAAGAAAUCAGACUUGAUGAAGGGAUGACUGACAACCCAGUUUUGCCCUGUGUGACUGAUAGAUGUUAGGCAUUCUCUCUCUUUCCAUCUGUCUGUCAGCUGUAGAGCAUGAUGGUCUGUUCAUCAACCUCUGAUUCAGGGAUUGUUCAGAUUUGAAAUUUUCCUACAGCUGUAAUAUCUGCACUCCUAGGCAAAAUAAAAUGGUCAGAGUCCAGAUUUAAACCAUAUAUAGAAUAUUUGGUUUCAUAUUGAACACUAGCUUGGCAAAGUCUUUCAACUGUUUGAAGCCAUCAAUGCUGAGUGAAAAAUGAUUUGUUGUUAAGGCCAUUAAAAGCUUAAUGCUUUUCCAUAAUGGCUAUGGCUCCCUUUUUUUGUUCAGGAGCGUACAUUGCCCUAUAAAUCUACACCAAAUCUAAAAUCUAUAAAUUUACACCAAUGUUCUGUUAAAAAGAAUAAAGCUAGGAGUAUGACAGAAUAUUUUUACACUUGUUUUUUAAAAAUAAAAUAAACAGAAUUACCUUGAA